UUCCUCAAUUAGUUUAGAUGCACGAAAUUAAUAACUUUGUCUUGUAAGUGUUACAGAGAGUUUGGAGUCCUAUGUGUGUUAGUUAGUGCAUCAUUGUCAUCUACUAUGAUGGAUCUGUCUCCGUUGGCUGGUCAAAAUGAGCGGUAGGUGAUUGUAUGAUAUAGUUACAUAAAAAUUAGACCAAUGUGAAUAGUUAAUCUUAAAUAUCUUUGCAGGUUUACUAUCCCUCAUAAUCAAAGUGAAGGUCCAUCAUCUAGUGUUCGUGAAUGGACCGAUUGGGAAGUGAGAAGUACAAUUGAUAAUGAUGACGUAAUUAGAAGGGAUGAGGAGUAUGUUAUUGAAAGUGAUGAAGAGGAUCAAAGGCGAAUUGAUGCUGUUCUAGUGAUGAUAAGGAAUCCUUUGUUCCGCAUUCUUUGGAACCUGAUCAUGACGGAGGUUUGAAUGCACUCGCAUGCGCCAUUCGAGAUGAAAGUGUUGAAUGGAUUGAAAAUUCAAAUGUCAACAACGAUGAUGUAUCGGAUCUGGUAGAAUUC
This 533-nucleotide long non-coding RNA is filed under the name Ananas comosus (pineapple). RNAcentral describes it as "long non-coding RNA (ACOM_LNC043989)". The record is from RNAcentral. Lineage: Eukaryota; Viridiplantae; Streptophyta; Magnoliopsida; Poales; Bromeliaceae.